GUCGACCUGUUUGACUCACAUCGGGGUUUCCCGCUCUCACAGGAGAUCUGAGCGUUGAGCUUCCUCUCCGACCUGCAGCCCAUGGAACUGAUCUGCUUCAGGCAGCAGUGGUGGAAGAAGCAACACCUGCUGCUCACCUGUCCAGCUGGUCCAGAGGUUGACCGCCGCCCUCCUGUCCGCAGUAGCAGCCGUACAUCUCGUACUCAUGUGGACAGCGCCCCGUCAGGCAGUGGAGCAUCUCCCCCAACGCCGGCAUCUCCCGCCUGGCUCGGCCAUCGCUGCCGUACAGGGUGAGGGAGCGACUGCAUUCUGUUGGGAGAUUGACGGAGAAACACAGCUAGACAGGAGGGAGACGUCUUCAGUGAAACACAGCUAAAGAUACUUAGCCAUACCUGUGCUGUCUGGCUGUAGCUGUAGGUCGGUCAGCCCAACAGACUCCAGCAGGGACCAGGCGAAGAACGGAACCGUCCUCUUCUGAGCCACAUCCCACUCUGCCAACAGAAGAAAAAAACACAUGCAGGAAACUCUGAGGCCGAGCAGCUUCAACAUCAUUAGAGACAGACGACACGCUGAGGAUGAAAAUGUCGACAUGUUAGCGUGGAGGCUUCAGGGUCACUGCAGAUUAUCUUCGAUGUCAAUGGAGAACAAAGAGGCCAAAUGGGGGAGAGGCAGAAGAAUGAAAACCAGAAAGCUGCUUGUAUUUUAUAUGUUUUUUUACCAUCUGCGUCCUUCUCCUGCGAGCUGUCGGCGUCUUCUCCUUCCACA
Seriola aureovittata is the source of this 765-nucleotide long non-coding RNA. RefSeq lists it as uncharacterized. The transcript has 4 exons. NCBI's taxonomy places the organism in Eukaryota, Metazoa, Chordata, Actinopteri, Carangiformes, Carangidae. The record is from RefSeq and is a predicted model, not a curated record.